RNAcentral lists this ribosomal RNA (494 nucleotides) under uncultured bacterium. Its description in RNAcentral is "bacterial SSU rRNA". It matches the Rfam family "Bacterial small subunit ribosomal RNA", at positions 28 to 521 of the family's 1533-position model. The record is from RNAcentral.
GAUGAACGCUGGCGGCGUGCCUAAUACAUGCAAGUCGUGCGCUCCACUCGUGGAGAGCGGCGAACGGGUGAGUAACACGUAACCAACCUGCCCCUAAGUCUGGGAUAACUACUGGAAACGGUAGCUAAUACCGGAUAGGUAAUGGAGACUUAUGUCACUAUUAUUAAAGAUGCGUUUGCAUCGCUGAGGGAUGGGGUUGCGCAGCAUUAGCUAGUUGGAGGGGUAACGGCCCACCAAGGCAACGAUGCUUAGCCGACCUGAGAGGGUGAUCGGCCACACUGGAACUGAGACACGGUCCAGACUCCUACGGGAGGCAGCAGUAGGGAAUUUUCGACAAUGGGCGCAAGCCUGAUCGAGCAACGCCGCGUGAAGGAUGAAGGUCUUCGGAUCGUAAACUUCUGUUGUAAGGGAAGAACAGCUAGAGUAGGAAAUGGCUUUAGUUUGACGGUACCUUACCAGAAAGCCACGGCUAACUACGUGCCAGCCGCCGCCGU